CCUACGGGAUGCAGCCGUGAGGAAUAUUGGUCAAUGGGCGCGAGCCUGAACCAGCCAAGUCGCGUGAGGGCUGAAGGUUCUAUGGAUCGUAAACCUCUUUUAUAAGGGAAUAAAGUGUGGGACGUGUCCUAUUUUGUAUGUACCUUAUGAAUAAGGAUCGGCUAACUCCGUGCCAGCAGCCGCGUUAAUACGGAGGAUCCGAGCGUUAUCCGGAUUUAUUGGGUUUAAAGGGUGCGUAGGCGGCCUUUUAAGUCAGCGGUGAAAGUCUGUGGCUCAACCAGAGAAUUGCCGUUGAAACUGGGGGGCUUGAGUAUGUUUGAGGCAGGCGGAAUGCGUGGUGUAGCGGUGAAAUGCUUAGAUAUCACGCAGAACCCUGAUUGCGAAGGCAGCCUGCUAAGCCAUGACUGACGCUGAUGCACGAAAGCGUGGGGAUCAAACAGGAUUAGAUACCCUUGUAGUC
This 460-nucleotide ribosomal RNA is filed under the name uncultured bacterium. RNAcentral's name for it is "partial 16S ribosomal RNA". It matches the Rfam family "Bacterial small subunit ribosomal RNA", at positions 338 to 795 of the family's 1533-position model. The record is from RNAcentral.